RNAcentral lists this ribosomal RNA (458 nucleotides) under Ameerega pongoensis. RNAcentral's name for it is "partial 16S ribosomal RNA". It matches the Rfam family "Bacterial large subunit ribosomal RNA", at positions 1943 to 2553 of the family's 2925-position model. Lineage: Eukaryota; Metazoa; Chordata; Amphibia; Anura; Dendrobatidae. The record is from RNAcentral.
UAACCGUGCGAAGGUAGCGUAAUCACUUGUUCUUUAAAUGAGGACUAGUAUGAAUGGCCCCACGAGGGCUGCACUGUCUCCUUUCUCUAAUCAAUGAAACUAAUCUCCCCGUGAAGAAGCGGGGAUAGCCCUAUAAGACGAGAAGACCCUAUGGAGCUUUAAACAACUGAAAUACUUGCUUUUUCCUCAACCUCUUCCGAGCUCUUUAUUUUACUUAAGCAAUUUUAUUUCUAGUUUUAGGUUGGGGUGACCACGGAGCAAAACUAAACCUCCGCGAAGAAAUGAAUUCUUUUUAAGCCACAAACUACUUUUUUAAGCAUCAACAAAUUGACCUUCAUUGACCCAAUAUAUUGAUCAACGAACCAAGUUACCCUAGGGAUAACAGCGCAAUCUACUUCAAGAGCUCAUAUCGACAAGUAGGUUUACGACCUCGAUGUUGGAUCAGGGUAUCCUAGUGG